Molecule: ribosomal RNA, 253 nt
Filed under: uncultured bacterium
Lineage: Bacteria
Description: partial 16S ribosomal RNA
Rfam family: Bacterial small subunit ribosomal RNA
Source: RNAcentral
UACGUAGGGGGCAAGCGUUGUUCGGAAUUACUGGGCGUAAAGGGCGCGUAGGCGGCAGGUCAAGUCGGGAGUGAAAGCCCGGGGCUCAACCCCGGAAUGUCUUUCGAAACUGGCCAGCUCGAGUGCGGAAGAGGCAACUGGAAUUCCCAGUGUAGCGGUGAAAUGCGUAGAUAUUGGGAAGAACACCUGAGGCGAAGGCGGGUUGCUGGGCCGACACUGACGCUGAGGCGCGAAAGCCAGGGGAGCAAACGGG